UGCAAUUCUGCCCUGGAUCUGAAAUGGGCACCAGGCUCUUCUGUUGUGUGGCUCUUUGUUUCCUGUGGACAGGACAGGUAGACGCUGGUGCUGGAAUCACUCAGAGCCCACAUAAGAUCACUUCGACAGGGAAGAGGGUGACUCUAACAUGUCACCAGACUCAGAAGCAUGACUACAUGUACUGGUAUCGACAAGACCUGGGACAUGGGCUGAAGCUGAUCCAUUAUUCAUACGAUAUUCUCAAAACUGAAGAAGGAGAAGUCCCUGAUGGGUACAAUGUCUCUAGAUCAAAUAUAGAGGAUUUCCCCCUCACACUGGAGUCCGCUACUCCCUCCCAGACAUCUGUGUACUUCUGUGCCAGCAGUUACUCCACAGUGCUGCACAGCUGCCUCCUCUCUGCACAUAAAAUGUACUUAGAAAGACUGGGGGUGCCCUGUGCUCAUGAGGCCUGA
Equus quagga is the source of this 452-nucleotide non-coding RNA. NCBI's taxonomy places the organism in Eukaryota, Metazoa, Chordata, Mammalia, Perissodactyla, Equidae. The record is from the annotation of a RefSeq genome assembly.